This 440-nucleotide ribosomal RNA is filed under the name uncultured bacterium. RNAcentral describes it as "partial 16S ribosomal RNA". It matches the Rfam family "Bacterial small subunit ribosomal RNA", at positions 338 to 795 of the family's 1533-position model. The record is from RNAcentral.
CCUACGGGUGACAGCAGUGGGGGAUAUUGCACAAUGGGGGAAACCCUGAUGAAGCGACGCCGCGUGGCUGAAGAAGCGUCUCGGCGCGUAAAGCCCUGUCAGCAGGGAAGAAAAUGACGGUACCUGAAGAAGAAGCCCCGGCUAACUACGUGCCAGCAGCCGCGGUAAUACGUAGGGGGCAAGCGUUAUCCGGAUUUACUGGGUGUAAAGGGGGCGCAGACGGCGAUGCAAGCCAGGAGUGAAAGCCCGGGGCCCAACCCCGGGACUGCUCUUGGAACUGCGUGGCUAGAGUGCAGGAGGGGCAGGCGGAAUUCCUGGUGUAGCGGUGAAAUGCGUAGAUAUCAGGAGGAACACCGGUGGCGAAGGCGGCCUGCUGGACUGCAACUGACGUUGAGGCCCGAAAGCGUGGGGAGCAAACAGGAUUAGAUACCCCUGUAGUC